RNAcentral lists this ribosomal RNA (433 nucleotides) under uncultured bacterium. RNAcentral's name for it is "partial 16S ribosomal RNA". It matches the Rfam family "Bacterial small subunit ribosomal RNA", at positions 29 to 507 of the family's 1533-position model. The record is from RNAcentral.
AACGAACGAUGGAGGAAGGAAGAACACAGGCAAGUCGAACGAGACCUUCGGGUCUAGUGGCGCACGGGUGCGUAACGCGUGGGAACCUGCCCUUAGGUUCGGAAUAACUCCCCGAAAGGGGUGCUAAUACCGGAUAAUGUCUUCGGACCAAAGAUUUAUCGCCUUUGGAUGGGCCCGCGUUGGAUUAGCUAGUUGGUAGGGUAAAAGCCUACCAAGGCGACGAUCCAUAGCUGGUCUGAGAGGAUGAUCAGCCACACUGGGACUGAGACACGGCCCAGACUCCUACGGGAGGCAGCAGUGGGGAAUAUUGGACAAUGGGCGAAAGCCUGAUCCAGCAAUGCCGCGUGAGUGAUGAAGGCCUUAGGGUUGUAAAGCUCUUUUACCCGGGAUGAUAAUGACAGUACCGGGAGAAUAAGCUCCGGCUAACUCCGUG